UUUCAGAGGCCUCCCCUCUUGGCCGGUUCCCAGGCGGACUUCCCGGUACCUGCAGAAGAAGCGCCGGCUAACUACGUGCCAGCAGCCGCGGCAAUACGUAGGGCGCAAGCGUUGUCCGGAAUUAUUGGGCGUAAAGAGCUCGUAGGCGGCUUGUCACGUCGGUUGUGAAAGCCCGGGGCUUAACCCCGGGUCUGCAGUCGAUACGGGCAGGCUAGAGUUCGGUAGGGGAGAUCGGAAUUCCUGGUGUAGCGGUGAAAUGCGCAGAUAUCAGGAGGAACACCGGUGGCGAAGGCGGAUCUCUGGGCCGAUACUGACGCUGAGGAGCGAAAGCGUGGGGAGCGAACAGGAUUAAAUACCCUGGUAGUCCGCGCCGUAAACGGAGGGCACUAGGUGUGGGCCACAUUCCACGUCGUCCGUGCCGCAGCUAACGCAUUAAGUGCCCCGCCUGGGGAGUACGGCCGCAAGGCUAAAACUCAAAGGAAUUGACGGGGGCCCGCACAGCGGCGGAGCAUGUGGCUUAAUUCGACGCAACGCGAAGAACCUU
This 544-nucleotide ribosomal RNA is filed under the name Streptomyces anandii. Its description in RNAcentral is "bacterial SSU rRNA". It matches the Rfam family "Bacterial small subunit ribosomal RNA", at positions 452 to 972 of the family's 1533-position model. The record is from RNAcentral. Lineage: Bacteria; Bacillati; Actinomycetota; Actinomycetes; Kitasatosporales; Streptomycetaceae.